This is a long non-coding RNA of Drosophila pseudoobscura, 662 nucleotides long. RefSeq lists it as uncharacterized. The transcript has 3 exons. The record is from RefSeq and is a predicted model, not a curated record. Lineage: Eukaryota; Metazoa; Arthropoda; Insecta; Diptera; Drosophilidae.
ACGAUUUAAAUGAUAUAUUCGCGAAUAUUUCGAGCAGCUCGCGAAAACAUAACGUAUAGGCGCUAUUGUUUUUCGGUUUAAAAUGAGGAAAUAUGUACAUAUGUAUGUAUGUACAUACAUAUGUAUUUAUAACGCGGUUAAAGUCUACAUGCUCAUACUACUAUAUGCGUGGCUUAGUGUGUGUUGUGAAACUGUAGAUGGCACGCUGCUGCAGUUCAGAUUAAAUUGGUCGUAUUCUCUUCGGGCUCUUCGUCUCUUUUGCACACAGUCACACAGUAACACACACACACACACACACAACAAACAAACAUAAAUAGACAUCCGCUUCACUCUUGAAUUCGUACCCUAAAACCUUAAAAACGUAUCAAAGAGUAGUAUGAAAUGAAACGAGAAGGGAGGCCGCAGCUGAUGAUUGAUACUCUUGCAGAUCGAUCGUUCUUAUGUCAGAACGCGCUGCGCGCCAUUAGUAUUAUUUGUAUUAUUUGUUGAGGGCGAGCAGCAAAUUCUCAAAUGGCAACGGAUUCAAAUGGCAAUGCUGUGGCAAUCCUUCAAGAAUUCUUCUGAUGACAAGAUAAAAUAUCGGUAUCAAUAGUUGGCAAGGGUUGGCAAGUGAAUGUAAACUCCGCAUUAGUUAUUUGAAAUAUUUACAAAAUACCAUGCGA